UGUCAGUCCCCGAUCCCCUUUCCCUAACCACGCCCUAAUCGCGCGCAUGUGUAUUACGUCACUUCCUCUUUGCCGCCAACAUUUGCGACGGUGGAGAGUUUUGGAUUUGAUUUGCGUCAGCUGGAUUUGAUUUCCGACAGGUGGGUGAUCGGGUAUCCGAAACAGAGAUCCAACAAUAACAGCUAAUUGCCACAGUUGCUACUAUUCCAUAAACGGAUCAAUCUUUCAACAGAGUUACUCCACCACGUUCAAAGGAUGACUGCAGUUACAAACAUAAAGAUGAAUAUGUCCUGGACAAAAACCGUCCUCCAGGAGAGCUCAUAGUGAAGGAGGAUGAUAUCUGCUCAACCUGUGAAGACUUUAGGAUCCUGAGUAUGACACAAUGGAUGGAAUCCUCCGAGAAAAUGUCUACAUUGAUGACCUUUAUUACCUUUAUUACCACCUGGAAGGAUCUCUAAGAUGACCUACUGCGCUCCUUGCUGGUACUAUUUUGAUCUUUUUUUUGUUUGUUUUUUCUCCUGUGUGUGCAUGUGUGUGUCUAUGUACAUGUAUGUGUGUGUGUCUGUGUGCAUGUUUACUAAUUAGUAUCAAUGUAGGAAACCUUCAGGUCAGAGGUCAUGCUGAUGUUUCCACUUAGAGCAGACAGACAGGUCCAGCUGAUCUCUACCUGCUUUGUGUGAGUGUCCUCGGUCUUUCUCACUCUGUGUUUUUAAUAGGAUAGAGAAGAAAAGGAGAGGUUGAUGUGUCGUGUUUUGUGGAUGAUGAUGAUAACGUCUCUGUUCAGACAAUAUUUAUAGCUGAGAAACAGAAGCUCUUUCUGGACUCACUUCACCCUGAUGGUUUUGGUGAUGAUCUCUACAGAACAAUAUUUAGGUUGAUGCUGCAGAAAUGAAAAGUUGCUCUGACCUUGUUCAAGGACAAGUGUGAUCUUUGGAUAGACUGUCUAACAGCAGCCUGUUAGGUUCUCAGGCUGAAAG
Molecule: long non-coding RNA, 977 nt
Organism: Oryzias melastigma (Indian medaka)
Lineage: Eukaryota; Metazoa; Chordata; Actinopteri; Beloniformes; Adrianichthyidae
Exons: 3
Source: RefSeq, a predicted model, not a curated record